Molecule: long non-coding RNA, 302 nt
Organism: Carassius auratus (goldfish)
Lineage: Eukaryota; Metazoa; Chordata; Actinopteri; Cypriniformes; Cyprinidae
Exons: 3
Source: RefSeq, a predicted model, not a curated record
AUUCAAAUUAUAUGACCAGUAUAUGGUGAAGCAGCACUAAUUGGGAUGGUGGCAUUUAUAAAUAAUAAUUUAUCAACUGAGACAUGUUAGUUCAGUCUAAAAAAAAAAAACUUGUGUCUCUUGGCAGUUUUCAACUCUUCGCUUUGCCACCAGAAUGAAAUGUGUGCAGACAAAGCCAUCAAUAAUGUCGAACCAGUGCUUCAGAUGCAAAGACUAGAGAAAGAAAUCAAGUUUCUUAAGGAGGAGUGGUCAAUGUAUAACACACUGAGAUUCUCUAUGGGGUUCAGGUCUGGGGAGUUUGC